GACGAACGCUGGCGGCGUGCUUAACACAUGCAAGUCGAACGGUGAAGCGCUUGCCUUUUUGGUGGGUGUGGAUGAGUGGCGAACGGGUGAGUAACACGUGAGUAACCUGCCCUCUUCUUCUGGAUAACCUCAUGAAAGUGGGGCUAAUACGGGGUAUUCCGGGUCUGUCGCAUGGCGGGUUUGGGAAAGAUUGCGCCUUUGGGUGUUUUCGGUGGGGGAUGGGCUCGCGGCCUAUCAGCUUGUUGGUGGGGUGAUGGCCUACCAAGGCGGUGACGGGUAGCCGGCCUGAGAGGGUGGACGGCCACACGGGGACUGAGACACGGCCCAGACUCCUGCGGGAGGCAGCAGUGGGGAAGAUUGCACAAUGGGCGCAAGCCUGAUGCAGCGACGCCGCGUGAGGGAUGGAGGCCUUCGGGUUGUGAACCUCUUUCGCCAGUGAAGCAGGCCUGCUCCUGUGUGGGUGGGUCGACGGUAGCUGGAUAAGAAGCGCCGGCUAACUACGU
This 503-nucleotide ribosomal RNA is filed under the name uncultured bacterium. RNAcentral describes it as "partial 16S ribosomal RNA". It matches the Rfam family "Bacterial small subunit ribosomal RNA", at positions 28 to 506 of the family's 1533-position model. The record is from RNAcentral.